Molecule: ribosomal RNA, 773 nt
Filed under: uncultured Neocallimastigales
Lineage: Eukaryota; Fungi; Neocallimastigomycota; Neocallimastigomycetes; Neocallimastigales
Description: partial large subunit ribosomal RNA
Rfam family: Eukaryotic large subunit ribosomal RNA
Source: RNAcentral
CGUCUAUAUACGUAUAGCAUAUCAAUAAGCGGAGGAAAAGAAACUAACUAGGAUUCCCUCAGUAACGGCGAGUGAAGCGGGAAGAGCUCAAAUUUGAAAUCUUCAAGGUUUUACCUUGACGAAUUGUAGUUUAAAGAAGUGUUUUCUGUUGGAGUUUCGGUAAAAGUUCUUUGGAAUAGGACAUCAUAGAGGGUGAGAAUCCCGUAUUUGACCAUUAUUUCAACUUUGUGAUACACUUUCAAAGAGUCGGAUUGUUUGGGGAUGCAGUCCAAAAUGGGUGGUAAAUUUCAUCUAAAGCUAAAUAUUGGCGAGUGACCGAUAGCGAACAAGUACCGUGAGGGAAAGAUGAAAAGAACUUUGAAAAGAGAGUUAAACAGUACGUGAAAUUGUCAAAAGGGAAGCGUUUGACACCAGUGUUGUUUUCUCGAAAAUCAAUUAAAAAUGGCAGGAUUUUGUGUUGUAUUGACUUUAUCAGCUUUCUGCACUUUUUUCUUGUCUUUUUUAAUGCACUUUUCGUUUAACAAGUCAACAUCAAUUUCUUUUGCUGUAAAAGGGUCAUUGGAAGGUGGCUUUCUUUUCGGAGAAAGUGUUUAUAGCCUUUGACUUCUGCAGUCGGAGAGAUUGAGGUCUGCAGCGUAGAUCCUUCGGGGUUAGAUGCAUUUGUGCUAAGUUAUAGCCUUUCAUAGACAACUUGUUGACUAUGAUCAGUCAUGUAGCUUACUCGCUUAUGUCAUUUUACCUACGCUUAGGAUGUUGAUCUGUAGUGCGUGCGC